This 1302-nucleotide ribosomal RNA is filed under the name Nerita insculpta. RNAcentral's name for it is "16S ribosomal RNA". The stretch from base 827 to 1302 matches the Rfam family "Bacterial large subunit ribosomal RNA", at positions 2048 to 2741 of the family's 2925-position model. Lineage: Eukaryota; Metazoa; Mollusca; Gastropoda; Cycloneritida; Neritidae. The record is from RNAcentral.
UCUUUAAAUUAAUUAUUAUUUCAACCCUAUUUUAACCAAAGCCAAUCAAACCAUUUUUCUAUUUAGUAAUGUUGAAUGAAUAAAACAAUUAUACUCAAAGUACCGAGAGGGAACAAAUCAUAAUAAUAGUAGUAGAGAUAAAACCUCGUACCUCUUGCAUCAUGGGAAAACAAGAAUCUUUUUAAGAUCUAAAUCACCCGAACUUUAAGUGAGCUACUCUGUAGAAUAAACCUAAUGUUGCAAAAUUAUUGUUAACUACAUAAUAGAUGCUAAAUACUUACCGCACUAAAAGAUAGCUGGUUGCUCAGAAAAGAUAUAAAAGUAUCUCCUUUCCCUAGGAAAGGCACACUAACAGAAGGAUAAGCUUCUGUUAUAUCAAUGGCCCAAGACUACUAAUUUUUUAAAAGUAGGAAUAAAAUUUUCCAUCAUUAAUUUUGUUAUAAAAUAUAGAAUACUACCUAGAAAAUAAAUUUAGUUAACCUUGAUCCUCACUGAGCCAUAUAGACCAACCAAAUUGCCCAACUAUACAACUGAUGUUUUCACGAGUAUUUUUACACUUAACAAUCUUCCUCUAAAAAUAGAAGUUUACACAAAUUCAACUACUUAAAUAUAUAUAAGGAACUCGGCAAGCUUACUACUCCGCCUGUUUAUCAAAAACAUGUCUCUUAGAAAAUAUUAAGAGUCAGGCCUGCCCAGUGAUCACUUUAACGGCCGCGGUACCCUGACCGUGCAAAGGUAGCAUAAUCAUUUGCCUUUUAAUUGGAGGCUAGUAUGAAUGGUCUAACGAGAGUAAAACUGUCUCAUAUAUAUUCAAUAAAAACUAACCUAAAGGUGCAAAGGCCUUUAUCCACUAAAAAGACGAGAAGACCCUGUUGAGCUUUAAUCUUAAUGAGCAUCCUCCCUAUAUUUAUAGAUUUAUUUUGCUCGAUAAAGAUUUUAAUUGGGGCGAUUAAGGAACAAUUAUCAGCUUCCUGAAUUAACCUAAAAAUAUUUAUAAAUUAAAUCGAUCCAGCAUUGCUGAUCAACAAAAUGAGUUACCACAGGGAUAACAGCAUAAUUCUUCUUGAGAGCCCACAUCGAAAGAAGAGAUUGUGACCUCGAUGUUGGACUAGGGUAACUGGAAGGUGUAGCCGCUUUCCUGUUUGGUCUGUUCGACCAGUAAUUCCCUACAUGAUCUGAGUUCAGACCGGCGUAAGCCAGGUCAGUUUCUAUCUUUUAACCAAUAUACAUUUAGGCUAGUACGAAAGGACCGCUUAAAGUAAACAUUUUACCACCAAGGUGAACAUAAUCUAACUUAACUUC